AGAAACCAUGUUAAAUCUUGAACCCCCGUGGCCAAUGCUACUCGAACCCAGGUGACAUGACUUACCUCCCUUUACCACUGGACCAAAGCAACUUAGUUUUUUCCCGUGAAUUUUUUUUUUUUUCUUAAAGUAUUUCGUAUAUGAAACCCAUUUGCCUAUGAUGACACAUUGACAUGAGUCAUUUUUUGGAGUUAUACGAGUUUUGAGAUCCAUAUGUAAGAUAUUUAGAGGUAGGAUUUCUAAAGCUAUAUGUGUUCUGAACUAUAUGGUAUGAACUCGCAAUCCGACAG
This 290-nucleotide long non-coding RNA is filed under the name Capsella rubella. Its description in RNAcentral is "long non-coding RNA (CRUB_LNC002075)". The record is from RNAcentral. Lineage: Eukaryota; Viridiplantae; Streptophyta; Magnoliopsida; Brassicales; Brassicaceae.